ACGUCGAUAUCAGGCUUAUUGGUUU
RNAcentral lists this small RNA (25 nucleotides) under Bombyx mori (domestic silkworm). Its description in RNAcentral is "ovarian small RNA-11606". The record is from RNAcentral. Lineage: Eukaryota; Metazoa; Arthropoda; Insecta; Lepidoptera; Bombycidae.